UGAAGAAACUACCAAUGAUAUGAUUGAACCUGCUGGAUCGGUAGUCUGCUCGCCCACAUCAGUCGAUGUGUCUUCUGACUGAGGUACUUCUAGUUGAGGCUCUUCUAGUUGGGGUUCUUCCGCUUGUGGUGCUCCUUGCGGUUGAGAAGGGGAUGGUACUUGCUGUGUCUGUGUUUCUGGAGGAGAGGGAGAAGAUUCUACCUGAAUUGGAGAUACCGGGGGAGGAGGAGGCGUUGCUACUCUCUGGCGCUUCGUUUGUGCUCUGGUACUCUGGGUACCUUUUCUUUUCAGUUGACUGGACUGGGGGGCAUCGGCACUUUUACUUCUGGUCCUUGCCGAUGCGCUGGUGUGCUGAUACAGAAAGGAAGAUUCGUAAGUACAAGUGCAACAGAUAUAAGAGUGAGAUCGGUAUGAAAAAUUUGAAAAUGUACCUUGAACGCCUGUGCUAAGGUAGAGGUAGCUACCGAUGGGGAUAUCUGAGUUCUCUUGGUGUAACUUUCUUGAGGCGUACACCUCGAUGCAUGAUGGCGGCCAGAGUGGGAGCGUUGUUGCCGAUUGAAGAGAUCGGACCUGAUGGAAGCAGAUCAAUCGGCUUGCCACUCCUGCUGACUGAUGGAGGAGUGUCAUCAACCUGCAAUAUAACACAGAAAGUGAGUUACCGAUGAGAAUGAGAAUAAAAGGGGUAGAGCAUCGGUUUGGAGAUACUUACAAUAUCAUCAGGGACCUUGUAUUGGGGAUCAAUCAUGCCACGGUAUGUAAGGGCCGAUCUGCAGAACAAGUGCUCCUUCAAUUCUUCCCACCAUUGCUUGUACGCCUGAGUGAUAAAGGCGGCCGGGACCCACUCUGAUAAAUCUGCAUCUGUAUCGGCACUCGGUGGCAGUUGGGCUACUCGAAUCCACUCAAGGAGGUUAGUGAUGGCUUCCCUGGGUUUUAUCGCAUCGGCAUAACAGAGUGCAAUCGGCAGCUGGCCGAAAGCUAAUUGACGAGCUAGUGCCGAUGGGUUAUAAAAUUCAUAGGUUUGGUUGGAGGUUUUCCCACUGCCAAAGAAGUUUACUGGUAUAACUCUGGGAGUGAUCAGUGCCAUCAUCACUUCAUGAUCCUUGUUGAGAGCAUCGUUGAAGGGUGGAAGACCAAAGGAAACAUAGUGUCUGGAUCGUCAUAAGGCAACCAUGCUCGCUGUUCUCUGGUCAAGCCUUCAUACAGGGUUUGGAAGAAUCGGCUGACCUGGUCUGCAUUACUCCCUGUACCAGGCAGAACUAUGGCAGCCUCGCCAAAGUUCAGAGUAGGGCGAGUUGCCGAUUCUUCCUCAUCCAGUUCAUAAUCCUCAGCUAUAUCCCUAGGGAAGCGCUGUGCGAAGAGGUUAAACUCGAGGCGCUUGUGCAUGCGGAGGCUAAGCCACAUGUUGAUAAACCACCAGGGACCCCCCAAGUUGCCGAUGGACUGGCCGAGGAGGAGUUUCUUAGCUACUUGGUGGAGGAGGUGGUAAGCUGCGCCAAGUAGGUAUCGGCCGAGAGGAAAUCGGCCACCAUUGGCUAAUCUUUCUGCUGCUGCUAGAUAGACGGAAGUUGGUCCUGUCGAUCGACCACAGAAUACGAAUUUGUCCAAUCACAUGUUUAGGAAGCUGGUCUGUUCCUUUUAUGUUAACAGGGCCUGUUCGUUUGUAUUUUUGGAUGUACCCUGACCAACUGCCGAUGGCACGAGUUUCUACCUUAGCACUAGGUUUGGUGUCGAAAAAAUGGGUGCUAUCGGCAGAGGAUACAUCUAAGCCAGUGAGCAUGACCACAUCGGCAAGUGUUGGGGAAGCAGGGCCAUGGCCAAACAUGAAGGCAUUGAGUGUGUCUGACCAAAAAUAUGAUGCAGCUAUCAGCAGUGACUCAUUCCUAUGCAUAUCGGCAAUGGACAGCCUGAUGCAUUGGUCCAGUUUUCUCUCACCUCAUUGGACUUCAUUUGAGUGGCUAACUCUCAAGAACCAAUCCUUCCAUCCCACGGUAGAACUAGGCCAGGAACGAAAGGUGUCCUUCCACAGAUCCAAAGAAAAGUUCUCGGCUCUAAAAAGGAUCAUGUUGGUUUCUACGUUAAUAAGGUCGGUGGGAUCUGGAUUCUCUAACGGACCAAGACAUUGGAGAUGUGGCUGAUCGGUAGGGAUGACGAUGUUAUUGGACAGAUCCUAAUGGUUUUGAAGGAAAAAGAAGAACAAAGAAAGAAAAAGAAAAAAUGUUCAGUAAAAUAAAUUGCGGAUGAACAGGGAUGCGGGAAAAAGCACAAAAGGUGGAAUGAAGAGCUAACCUCAGGGACGGUGAAGUUGAUGGCCAUCUCUUCACGAAGAGGAUGAUCGAAGGCUUCGGAGUUGGUGAAGAAGGGGCUUCGUUGGAGAUCUUGGAGCUCUCGAACAGCGCCGCCGCCGGAAAAGUGGAGUUGGAGCUGUAGAAUGAUGUGAUGGGGAAGGAGUACCCGAGAAGGAACUAUUUAUAGGACAAAAUGGGCGAGGGUAAAUCCGAUUUAUCACUUCGCCGUAUCCAUGAAAUCCGAGGAUACUCAGGAAGAUAUGGUAACUAUUCGCACGGUAAUCAAGAGAUUGCACUGGUGAUUUGACAGGAAGCGGUCGUGAUCUGGAGAUAUUUUACUGCGCGAGAUUUCCUGAUCGGUCCAUCGGCAGCGCCUUGUAACGGUCAUAUUGCCGAUGAGCGGAUAAAGUGGGGAUAUCCGUUUGGGAGGAUAAGAUACUUUGCUAAACAGAACGUCCUGGUCAGUCCAUCGGUAGGUCUCUGUAACGGUAACAUUGCCGAUGGGCGAAUAGAGUGGAAAUGUCCGUUUGGAAGGUUGAGGAUUUCGAGGGAUAUACGGAGGAAUCAAACCAGGGUUGUUCAAAUUAAGGUUGUCGGUUACCAAAUCGGGAGAAUUAAUUGCGGAAAGGAAUCAUUACUGCAGAGAAUUUCGGAGCAUUAAUGAUUUCAUACUCCGAAACUGGGGGGCAUGUGUUGACACCGUUUUUGGGCGCGUGUCCAGGAUCGGUAGAGUAUAGAUCGGCAGGACAGGGCAAAGGUAGCUGGUCUGCAGGAGAGUUGCCGAUGAGGGUGGUUGCCGAUGAGAAGACAGCUGGAUGUGGCUAAGUCCAUGGAUGGUGAUAUGUCUGUGCCGAUGGCCAGCACUAACCUCUGCCUGUGAUUGCGGUGAAGAAUCUGCUGAUGACGCGGGAGGAAGACUUGAAGAUUGCCGAUUGGUCUAUGGUGGCGUCCCAGACUGUCACGGAAAGAUAGUUUUAUGUUUUCCUUAGUUAUUUAAAUCGUUUUGUAUACGAAUUCUGUUUAAUUUGGAAUUCGAGUUCUAGUCAUGUCUGGUUGUAGCUCUUUUGAGCAGAGUAUAAAUGUAGACCCUAGGGCCUUGUAAUCGAGACAUCUAUCAAUCAAUCAAACACAAGUUUUUACUCAUAUUCCAGCAUCUACUUUUUCGACGACUUCGUCAUACUUUCCUUUUUAUUACGAGUUUCUCGGAAUUCGUCGACUCAAGCUCGGCGUGUUCUCAAGUUCCGCGUGAAUACCUCUCGACUCAAGCUCGGCGUGUUCUCAAGUUCCGCGUGAAUACCUCUUGGCCGUGGCAUCCGGGCGCAUCGCUGUUGUCGUGUAACGUCCCGCCUCCACGAGGCCGGACCCGCUUACAUCUGGCAGCUUUUCUAGGACAUAGUCAGCCCCCACAAACCAACACUGGUCUUUUCUGCACACUUUGUCCUCACUCGUGCGCACCCGAGAACUAGUUCCCGGUUGGUCACCCAUCCCUAAAUUGCUCCAGGCCAAGCACGCUUAACUUUAGAGUUUUUUUGGAGAUGGGCUUCCGGAAAAGAAGUUGCAACUUGUUGGUAUGAGUCUCCUAUUAAUCCUAUUGAGCCCUGGGCCGGGUGUUACAUCCUCACCCCCUUAAGAGAUCGACGUCCUCGUCGAUCAACCCCAAGCCAGGAACGUCCUCUCUUAGCCACGUCCGUGCAUCCAGUGCCAGCGCAUGUGCCAUGCUGUGUGACCACUCUGGGUCCACACCAGCCAUGCACACCAUGCCUGCGCAACUGCGACACACGCGCCCGUGAAACCGCGAGAGUCGGCUUUGAUACCAUUCUGUAACGUCCCGCCUCCACGAGGCCGGGCCCGCUUACAUCUGGCAGCUUUUCUAGGACAUAGUCAGCCCCCACAAACCAACACUGGUCUUUUCUGCACACUUUGUCCUCACUCGUGCGCACCCGGGAACUAGUUCCCGGUCGGUCACCCAUCCCUAAAUUGCUCCAGGCCAAGCACGCUUAACUUUAGAGUUUUUUUGGAGAUGGGCUUUCGGAAAAGAAGUUGCAACUUGUUGGUAUGAGUCUCCUAUUAAUCCUAUUGAGCCCUGGGCCGGGUGUUACAUGUCGGGACCAAAGUAUUCGAGUUAUCACCUUUGCCGAUAGUAAGGUCAAAUCGGCUGGCACGCCUUAACGUUUAAAUCGGGUAUUAGCCCUUUGUGUUUGCAGAUCAGCUUUUGCAUCAACAACGGGAUGUGGCUGCUCCUCGCUGCUAGCCGCCCCUAAAGCUCUUGUCGAGCAGGCAGAGGCUUGAUGCUGAGCAGGGCCUAUGGUUCUGUCGGAGGCCUGACAUGAGUCAAAAGGUUCAGAUGAAACAAUGAAACUGAUAUAGCUGAAACCCAAAUAUCUAUGCCAAGCAAACUCACUUAAAGUUACAUGCGAAAGAGAAGGUGCUUUACAUGCAAUCCAAAAUUGUAUAUAUUCAAAUAGGGCAAAGAAACAUAAGCACUGACAGCUAAUGCUCAUGAUUUUUUUAAUGUAUACAGUUUCAAAAGGAUAACUCCACCUUUCUCUCUCAGUUUUGACCGGACACAAUGCCUCUUGUAGAGCAUAUUUGUGAAAAUAUUUUUAUACAACUAAUGCACAUAUGAAAUCGACCAUGAAUAAAAAAUCAGCUAGAGACUUCAUAGGACUGAAAAUGAUACAUUGUGUCAUUAAAUAUGAAAGGUGUGUGGUAUUCAUUAAUUGACCAAAAAUUCUCAAAUAAUCACACAAGAUUCAGAAUGGAUCAGAAGACCUGCAUAUGCAAUCUGCACUAUGAAGUAACAUCGACAAAAAGGAUGAAAUUGCCCUAACUGUGUACGGAGGAAUAUCAUAUCCUUUAAUUUCUGACAUACUUAUUUGAACAUGUGUGUUUCUGAAUUUAUGCCUAACAACAAAAGUUUAAAGAAGACACAUCUGCAGACCCUUGGAAAGAAUGCAAUCGAUCAAUGCAAUAAUCCAGAAAGAUCAAUAGCAGCGCAGAUUAAUGCCAGAGAACUUGCAGGACACUACAGAGAGGACGAUGGAGAGCUACCCGUAGAUGUGGUUCGGGGGCUUGCAGGCUAGAAUCUCAUGCAACGGAGGCUCCAUCACUGGCGCUGCUUCUGUCGCGUCAUCAUACCCUAAGUGUCGCUUCCCCUUUGCUAUGUGCGUCCUCAGCUGCAGCCGCUUAGUUCUACCGGGAUCCGCAGCAAAGGAAGGCCGUGGGAUUUGGACCUGGACGAGGAGCGAUGGGGAUGGUGUUGCAGUGACAUGGGUGCGGGGACGGGGAACGGCGGCAUAUGCGGCCGCAGGGAGCGCGGACAGGGAGCGGCGACGUACGUGGCCGAGCUAGUGACUGCAGGGAUGGAGAGCGCGGCGGUGUACGCGGCCGUAGGAAGUGAGGACGGGGAGUUUAGGGGUUGUCGCAGGGAAGGGGAGGAGCAGAUGUGGGCGCAAGGAUGGAGAAAGCGUGUGGGAGAUGGUCGCAGGGCGUGAUUGGCGGAGCAGAAGGAGGGAGCGAGCGUCGCAGACCCGGCAGACGGACGAACGAAGAUGGAUUGUUGCACGAAAAAAUGUCCACUCUUUAGUCUUUUUAGUUGU
This 5884-nucleotide long non-coding RNA is filed under the name Sorghum bicolor (sorghum). RNAcentral describes it as "long non-coding RNA (SBIC_LNC003475)". The record is from RNAcentral. Lineage: Eukaryota; Viridiplantae; Streptophyta; Magnoliopsida; Poales; Poaceae.